This 386-nucleotide unclassified non-coding RNA is filed under the name soil metagenome. RNAcentral's name for it is "partial contains 5.8S ribosomal RNA, internal transcribed spacer 2, and large subunit ribosomal RNA". The stretch from base 1 to 120 matches the Rfam family "5.8S ribosomal RNA", at positions 35 to 154 of the family's 154-position model. The record is from RNAcentral.
GAUGAAGAACGUAGUGAAAUGCGAUAAGUAAUGUGAAUUGCAGAAUUCAGUGAAUCAUCGAAUCUUUGAACGCACCUUGCACCCUUUGGCAUUCCGAAGGGUAUGCUCGUUUGAGUGUCAUUGUACUCUCACACUCUCCGAUCCUAUGGAUUCGGGGAGCGGUGGACUUGGGUGUUGCUGCCUUUCCCUGUGGCUCACCUCAAAUGCGUCAGUGCACCUCUUGGUUGGACAUAGUACGGCGUGAUAAGUGUCUUCGCCGGCACCUCGCAAGAGGGUGGCCGAUCGGGAGCUCUGCGCUUUCAAACCGUCUUCGGACAAUUUCUGACAUCUUGACCUCAAAUCGAGUAGGACUACCCGCUGAACUUAAGCAUAUCAAUAAGCGGAGA